UUUUCUUGCAGUAGAUUGACAUUUAAUAUAUAUAUAUAUAAAAAAAGAGAGAGAAAACUUUGAACCAACAUGCUACCUAUGGCACACACUAGAGCAGGUCAGGGGAGAUAAAGUCCAUGCCAACAGCUGAAGGGAAUUAAACAAACACACAUAUGCACGCACCAAUCAUGAACUCAAUCACCAUUGGAAAUAUUGCACACUUUGGCAGGACAUCAUUGAUAAGAUGGUAGCAUUCUAAGAGACUGCUGAUGCAGAGAGACAAGAAAAAUCUAUGAUGCAGAGAGAUGUCAGAAAAAUCUAUGUGGACUGGACAGCUUCAGGUUAACUAUAACUUUAAUUAUGUCAUAAAUCCGGUUACUCUAUUACAUUAGCCAAACAAAUUUUAAACCAGAUACCCCGACAUGUAUGGUUAACUGCAGAGGACAAUUUAAAACACUUAUUGGUCCCAAAACCAACCCAACUCUUGGUACAUGACAUUAGUUUGAGAAGGCAAAAAUGGUUGUUGUCCUGGCCACAUGACACACUUGUUAAUUUUAGUUCAUAGAUAGAAUCAGUUGAGUUUUUACAUCAAGUGCCCAAGGUCCCAAAGGUUUGAAGGGGAACAACUGUUAAAUACUUUUAGUUCAAAGGGAGCUGGUGAGAUGUAUUUUGUACUGAAAAGGAGAGCAAAUAAUUCUCAGAUAGCUAAUAGUUCAGUGUACAUUAUCAAUGUUCAAAGAGAACCUAUGUCACUGUUUACUUGCAGUGCUAGAAUUGCCAACACAUUACAUGGUAUGCUACAUAACAUUAAAAUAGAAUUUAGAUCUUAACAGAUGAAAGAUUUUGUUUCAAUAGUCAGACACCAAACUUGAAGAACAUCUCUGGAGAGAAGUUAAAUCUCAAGUCAGAGUUUAUUGUAAGUAACAGCAGUCACAAAAUUCUAUUUUAAAAAGAAUAACUUCUUUGAAACAGAAUGGUGGAGCUAGUUAACCAGUUGUAUGAACAUAUCCAACCCACUUUUUGUCAAGACUAGGCCAUCUUAGCCUGACUUUUUAGCUAAAGACAGAACAAUCAUCUCCUAACUAAAGUCAUGACCAGAAAUGAGAGCAGGAUCUUAUCAAGGAUUGAAAUGUAUAUUUGUUAGCAUACAACUCAACAUAAAAUGCUAAAAGAUAGCUAGCAAAGGAAAAUACAAGUCUAGUUUCUCUAUUAGUAAAGACACAGGUCUCUUUCGAGACUGCUAGUUAUUACAAAAAUGAUUUUCUCUUAAAUUAUUUACAACGCCUGUACUGUAGGAAAUAAAUAAGUACAAAUGUACAAAGAAGAGACAUUUCAUAGAAACAUUGUUUGUUUGUAAGACAAGAUUAUUAAAUGUUAAAAGUAUGUCUUUGACAACUUUGCUCUGACAUUCUGAUUAGUCAACAAGUAUUUCUUUUUGUCAGGACAGUUCUAUUUGCACAGAGCCACAUAUGUACUCUUCAAGGAAAUACCUACACAUACUUGGAUAAAGCUAACUCCCUUGGCAAGAAGGGAAAGGGGAAGCAUUUUCAGCCUAACCAAUGAACAAAUACAAAUUUGACAUGAAAUAGUAACACAUGCAUACAUUCUUAGUGAAACAUAAUCCCUUAGAAAUAUGUGAACAUACUCAUAGGAAUGAUAUAGAAGCUCACAGUACAAUCUUGUAAAUUGAUAACAUUUUCUUACAUCAAUUAUAGUUAGCAUGAUGGGGUUGAAAACAUUUAGAAAUGGAUUAAUUAGGUCAAAACUAAUGUUGGAGUUUUUAUCUUGAACAGAACAAAUAUCAAUUCUGAAUGAAAACAAGAUUUUAGAGACUUAUAUCAAUAAAAUUCUGACUAACCACACAAUUUUGUUAUAUUUUUAUAUAGGUCUAGCACUACAUUUCGCAUUUUACAUAUUAAAAAUAAAAAAAUCUUUUUUUGAGGCUUUCAUUGUUUGUUUUAUAUGUCCCUUCAGAAUUGAAUAUUAUUUCAUCCUAGCCCAAACCUCUCAAAGGAUGGUGGGGGAUGGCAGUGGGCAGGGUUUAAACCCGGGACCAUCAAGAUGUCAAUCAAAAGCACACACAUCACAACAAGGCAGCCAUCCACUUGGCUUUGAUACUGUCUUAUGUAUGCUUUAAGUGUAAGCUGAACAGCAUUAAAUAGAAGUUGUAAGUAAGAUGUAAAGACUGCAGAGAGUAAGUCAAAGUCUCCGAUGGACAUUUAUGUUGUUAGAAACAAACAAAAAACUGUUGAUAAAACACAGAACACAGAACAAAGCCAGACACCAAUACUUUUGAAACACCAAGAGAACAUACAAUGGAAAAAAGGGAGAAGGGGGAAAUCAGCAACACAGUAAUUGAGAAAACAUUGGAACACUUCAAAGCAGACAUGUACAGAUGAGUAAUGUUUCUGUCACAGAAGUUAUGUAGCCACACACACACACACAAAUGAUAACAUUUACAUCUGUCAAUGCUAUGAGUUUGAUUUACUUAGUAGGAAUGUGUUGGCUAUGGGUGAAUAGAUCUUAGAACUAAGAUCAUGCACAAGUCCUUCUUCUAACAAAACUAUAAUAAAGCACCAAGUUGAUAAAAGUGUAAGUGUUAGUUUGAAGUGGUAAAUGACAUCAGCCUAAGUUAAUGUAAGCUAAACAGCCAAACAUUGCUACCUAGUUUACUUUAACUCACAGCUACCUCAUAUCCUUAAACUGACAAGUUAAAAUCUUGGGUACAUGAAUCAAUCAAUGGUCACAACUAUAAACUUAUUUCAGUUUAUCAAAAUUAUAAACAUAUGUACAAAUUGUAAAGAUUAUUUAUAUAUGUAUAAAAAGUAUAGUGUAAUAUUGAAACCAUAUAUAAUUAUCAAAAAGCAAAAAAAAAAAAAAAAAAAAAAAAAAAAU
Molecule: non-coding RNA, 2874 nt
Organism: Biomphalaria pfeifferi
Lineage: Eukaryota; Metazoa; Mollusca; Gastropoda; Planorbidae
Source: the annotation of a GenBank genome assembly